This 466-nucleotide ribosomal RNA is filed under the name uncultured bacterium. RNAcentral's name for it is "bacterial SSU rRNA". It matches the Rfam family "Bacterial small subunit ribosomal RNA", at positions 29 to 506 of the family's 1533-position model. The record is from RNAcentral.
ACGAACGCUGGCGGCGUGCUUAACACAUGCAAGUCGAACGAUGAAGCCGGAGCUUGCUCUGGUGGAUUAGUGGCGAACGGGUGAGUAACACGUGAGUAACCUGCCCUUGACUCUGGGAUAAGCGUUGGAAACGACGUCUAAUAUCGGAUACGAGCUGGGACCGCAUGGUCACCAGCUGGAAAGAAUUUCGGUCAAGGAUGGACUCGCGGCCUAUCAGUUAGUUGGUGAGGUAACGGCUCACCAAGACGACGACGGGUAGCCGGCCUGAGAGGGUGACCGGCCACACUGGGACUGAGACACGGCCCAGACUCCUACGGGAGGCAGCAGUGGGGAAUAUUGCACAAUGGGCGCAAGCCUGAUGCAGCAACGCCGCGUGAGGGACGACGGCCUUCGGGUUGUAAACCUCUUUCAGCAGGGACGAAGCGUGAGUGACGGUACCUGCAGAAGAAGCACCGGCUAACUACGU